RNAcentral lists this ribosomal RNA (423 nucleotides) under uncultured bacterium. RNAcentral describes it as "partial 16S ribosomal RNA". It matches the Rfam family "Bacterial small subunit ribosomal RNA", at positions 359 to 773 of the family's 1533-position model. The record is from RNAcentral.
GAAUCUUCCGCAAUGGGCGAAAGCCUGACGGAGCAAUGCCGCGUGAGUGAAGAAGGCCUUCGGGUUGUAAAACUCUGUCCUUAGGGAAGAAUGUAUUCUAUGUGAAUAAUGUAGAGUAGUGACGGUACCUAUGGAGGAAGCCCCGGCGCACUACGUGCCCGCAGCCGCGGUAAUACGUAGGGGGCGAGCGUUGUCCGGAAUCACUGGGCGUAAAGCGCGCGUAGGCGGACUUUUAAGUCAGAUGUGAAAACUCUGGGCUCAACCUGGAGAUUGCAUCUGAAACUGGGAGUCUUGAGUGUAGAAGAGGAGAGUGGAAUUCCUAGUGUAGCGGUGAAAUGCGUAGAUAUUAGGAGGAACACCAGUGGCGAAGGCGACUCUCUGGUCUAUAACUGACGCUGAGGUGCGAAAGCGUGGGGAGCAAAC